Long non-coding RNA from Musca domestica (house fly), 1527 nucleotides. RefSeq lists it as uncharacterized. The record is from RefSeq and is a predicted model, not a curated record. NCBI's taxonomy places the organism in Eukaryota, Metazoa, Arthropoda, Insecta, Diptera, Muscidae. The transcript is spliced from 3 exons.
UAAUCUUAACGCCGUAAGAAAUUCGACGCCGAAAAAGUUCAAUCUGUUUCAACUUUUUCGGCGUCGUCGACGGCGUUGACAUUAACUCCAGCAUAACAAGGGAAAUCACCAAAUUAAAAAUGCUUAUAAAAACAGAAAAAGUUUCUGUCACUCUGUCAGUACCCUAAGCAUAGACGCUCUAAAUUGUUCUGGUAUCUUUUCAUCGCGAAGUCGGAGAAGGCGAGCAAAGUCAAACAAUUUAUUUUCAAUGCUUCCCGCUCUGACGAAAAAUAUAAAUGGUCACAUUAUGCAUACACCUUAUAAAUACACGUUGUAGUUUAUUGGCCUGUUCCAGAACUGCAAGAAUGUAAAACUUUACUACGACAUCCCAUUUUCCCUUUAUGAUAUCAAAAAAAUGCAAAACCCGUAGACUUUGCAGGUUCUGUUGGAUCAGAGCAUAUAUUAUGGUACAAUAUGGACAAGACAAGAAAAUAAAAAAAAAUUGAAAUCGUUGGAAGCUUUGCCCUUUCUUGAUUUCAAUGUAGUAUGGUUCCAUUCAAGGAUUAUCUGCUAGGUAGUGUGGUCAUGCCAAGUGUUUUUUUAACCAUAAAUAUGAAAUUGCAAAAAUUUUUACAAAAGUACAGAACAUAUGUCAGCACACAUGCGAAUCUUAACACUUCCCUAAAGUCCGAAUAAGAAAUUGGCAAUGCAGUUAAAAUAUUUACUUCAAUAGUCAACACCACUAAAUUUCCUAAGCCAGAAAAUAAUCCCUACAAGCCAUCGACCAUUCGAAAACACCUGUUUUGAAAAAGGAAAGCCACAAGAGAAUGACAGAAACACCGCUCCUCUUGGCUAAAAGAAUGUGAAAAACUUCUAAAGCAAGCACGAAGAGCGAAACUUAAAAAUAUUCUUAAAUAACCUGGAACCCACAGAGAUAACUGACUACAGCUUAUGGAAAGCCACAAAAAACUUGAAAAUAUCUAUCGCCCACGGAUCUUCAAUUCGCCUAAAAAAUGGUACUUGGGCAAAAACUACAGAAGAAACAGUAAACACAUUUGAUAAUAAACAUAAUUUGAUAAACACAUACAUUUUGACGUGAUAAUUGAUAAAUGUUCUUCUAUUAAAUUGGAAUACAAAGUCGUAUUAUAUAAGACAGUAAUAAAGCCAAUUUGGACUUAUGGCAUACAACUCUGUGGCAUAGCUAGUGCCUCUAACUUCUUGUAUGAUCAACGUUUUUCGUCGCCCACUGUUAUACUUCUACAGUAGUAUGGUAAAAUGGAGGCCGUUUCUGUGAAGUAAUUAUUAUUGUAGUCCGCGAGAUGAUUAUAUUUAACUGUAUGUAAGAAAGCAACAUUAUAUCCGUAAGACUAUUUCCGUAGUCCGCGAAUCACUCUAAACUAAUCUAAUCACUAAUCACAUCUAAACUAAUAUGAAUAACCUACUCACAAAAAACACAUCUAUAUCUUGAAAAAAAAAAAAUAAUAAUAAAAAUUAGAUCAUGAAAAAUAUAGGGUAAUUGUAUUGACAACCCCUCUAUAAAAAAUAAUA